RNAcentral lists this ribosomal RNA (253 nucleotides) under uncultured bacterium. RNAcentral's name for it is "partial 16S ribosomal RNA". It matches the Rfam family "Bacterial small subunit ribosomal RNA", at positions 524 to 776 of the family's 1533-position model. The record is from RNAcentral.
GACGAAGGUGGCGAGCGUUGUUCGGAAUCACUGGGCAUAAAGCGCACGUAGGUGGCGCCGUAAGUCGGAUGUGAAAUCCCUCGGCCCAACCGAGGAACUGCGUCCGAUACUGCGGUGCUUGAGGGUCAAAGGGGUGCAUGGAAUUCCCGGUGUAGCGGUGAAAUGCGUAGAGAUCGGGAGGAACAUCAGUGGCGAAGGCGACCCUCUGGACCAGCACUGACGCUGAGGCACGAAAGCGUGGGGAGCAAACAGG